This is a long non-coding RNA of Hyla sarda, 534 nucleotides long. RefSeq lists it as uncharacterized. The transcript has 3 exons. Lineage: Eukaryota; Metazoa; Chordata; Amphibia; Anura; Hylidae. The record is from RefSeq and is a predicted model, not a curated record.
UUCAGAUUUACAGCAGAGGAAGGCUAAAUGCCUAAACACAUCCUGCUCUAAGGAUAUGAAAUAAAACUACUUCGCUUUAUGCUCUGGGUGCAGCUAAAGCGGAUUCCCCAUCAAGAGAUCCUGCUCUGUGAAACCUGAAACUGGCCCCUGAUGCUCAACAUUCUGUUCCAAUUAACCCCUGAAGGAUAUCUCUCUGCAUGGUGAAUUAAAACUAUCACAUCGGCACCCUCAACGUUCAGCCUCAGCAAUGGAAAUAAACAGUAUACAGCAACCAGAAACCACAGCUCCACACACAGUUGGUAAUUCUAGAGCUGGGUAACUAGAGCAGCUCCAUUACACUCCGCAGUUACCCAGAGCCACCACUACAGACCUGUAUACAGAAAAAAAGGCUUCUGAUCACACAAAUUAUUUAUUUCUGUUAGAUUUCAAGUAUUGUGAUAGAAAUGCUGAACAGUAGUUUUUAGCUAAAGAAAUUCUAGAUUGACAGUCAAAAGGAAAAAAGUUUGGAGUUUAUUUUUUUUUUUUUAUUUUAUU